Podarcis lilfordi (Lilford's wall lizard) is the source of this 81-nucleotide non-coding RNA. Lineage: Eukaryota; Metazoa; Chordata; Lepidosauria; Squamata; Lacertidae. The record is from the annotation of a GenBank genome assembly.
GAAGGAUGGGCCCUAGCUCAGCAGUAGAGCAUCUCCUUUGCAUGCAGACGGUGCUGGGUUCAAUCCCCAAUGACAUCUUCA